This is a long non-coding RNA of Lolium perenne, 889 nucleotides long. RefSeq lists it as uncharacterized. The record is from RefSeq and is a predicted model, not a curated record. Lineage: Eukaryota; Viridiplantae; Streptophyta; Magnoliopsida; Poales; Poaceae.
CAGUUAUAUAUUAUUGAGAAUCAUUGCCUAGGUCGCAAGUUGUAGAGCUUGUGCAACUGUACAAUAUGAGCAUCAGGUCAAUUAACUUAAUUUUGUGGCCAAGGCAGCUAUUAUUAAAUCCAUUUUCUUGUUCCUUGGAUGUUGCACAAAAAUUGGGUUGUAUAUAUCUUCCUUAAAUCGAUGAUGUAUAUUGCAAUGUUAAGUUGAUACGAGUUCGUAGUUCUCUACCCCUUAGUCUGAUAUACAUUCUUCAUAUAUGUACUGCUUUUGCGCAGCUUAAGACAAGUGAUUUACUGAUUUAUUUUGUUGCAAGAUUAAGGGCUUACGGUUCUUUUAAUAGGAUACAUUCAUCUAGACAUUCCGGAUUUGUUUCGGUCCUUUAUACAUAAAAUAACUAGGGAUCCUCAUGAUCUAUGGCGAUAUUUGUGGCAGCAUCGAGAAAUACACAUGCACCCUGUUGUCCGGGCAGCUUGAAUGGAGGCGGAGCACGAGGCUCUGGCCAAGGACGAUGCUGGUUUCUAAAGGGAGCUUGUUUCUCAUUUUUAGUGGCAGGUGUGAUUCAUUUUCCUAUCCAUCUUCUAUGGCAAGAAUAAAACCAAUGUACGGAGGUAGCGCUUGCACAAGGGCUUGACAAGGCUAAGCUGGACGUUGAACAAGACCAACGCAUGUGACAAUCCACACCGAUGAGGAACCCAGGGACGAGUGGGUACGCAUGCACGGCCUACCCUCCGAUAGGUGGCGACACUGCCGCACAUGUGGAUCCGCACAUGUGGAUCGCCCGUGUGCACGCUUUAUGCUUGGUGGCGCAAAGUGUGAAGGUCAUGGGUGCCCCGAUCCACAAGAGAAUAAAGGAAACAAGUCAAGUUGACCUAGGAGAUUAAGAUUACAA